UAAGCUUUUCAAUUUUCAUAUCACUUACCACAGAAUGAGGUGGUGGCCAGUCGACUUCUCUCCAGGGGAGGGGCCCAUUUGGCCCACAUCCCAUGGCAUGCAGGAGUCUCAAGGAAGGAGAUCAUUAGCAGUGGGAAGGCCUAACCUGUUGGCGGCCAGCUUGUUGGAGAUGAAGCCUCCAGGGAUCUGUGUGACGAUGUAACCCCAGAAGAAGGAGCCAUGGAUCAGUCCCACAGUCUCUGGGUCCCAGUUGAAUUGAGCUGGCUGGGGAACAGAGUAAUAUAAUAUAGGGUAUUUAACUGGUUACGAGUUCUUUCACAGAAAAAAAAGUGUCUGUGUGUGUUGGUGCGUGAGUGUGUGUGCGUGCAUGCGUGUGAGUGUGUGUGUGUCGGGUGCUAUUGUGUUGUUAGAGAUUGAAAAUAGAGCCAGAGGACUGUUUGGGUGAUUCUGCUGUCCUUCAGAACAACGCUUGAACUUUUCCAUCCGAAUAUCAGCUGUUGAAUUACAAUGCUACUAUAAUAAAACAUAAAACAACA
Long non-coding RNA from Oncorhynchus kisutch (coho salmon), 536 nucleotides. RefSeq lists it as uncharacterized. The transcript is spliced from 2 exons. The record is from RefSeq and is a predicted model, not a curated record. NCBI's taxonomy places the organism in Eukaryota, Metazoa, Chordata, Actinopteri, Salmoniformes, Salmonidae.